RNAcentral lists this ribosomal RNA (879 nucleotides) under uncultured bacterium. RNAcentral's name for it is "bacterial SSU rRNA". It matches the Rfam family "Bacterial small subunit ribosomal RNA", at positions 38 to 916 of the family's 1533-position model. The record is from RNAcentral.
GGCGGCAGCUUACACAUGCAGUCGAGCGGGGGAAGGUAGCUUGCUACUGGACCUAGCGGCGGACGGGUGACUAAUGCUUAGGAAUCUGCCUAUUAGUGGGGGACAACAUCUCGAAAGGGAUGCUAAUACCGCAUACGUCCUACGGGAGAAAGCAGGGGAUCUUCGGACCUUGCGCUAAUAGAUGAGCCUAAGUCGGAUUAGCUAGUUGGUGGGGUAAAGGCCUACCAAGGCGACGAUCUGUAGCGGGUCUGAGAGGAUGAUCCGCCACACUGGGACUGAGACACGGCCCAGACUCCUACGGGAGGCAGCAGUGGGGAAUAUUGGACAAUGGGGGGAACCCUGAUCCAGCCAUGCCGCGUGUGUGAAGAAGGCCUUAUGGUUGUAAAGCACUUUAAGCGAGGAGGAGGCUACUUUAGUUAAUACCUAGAGAUAGUGGACGUUACUCGCAGAAUAAGCACCGGCUAACUCUGUGCCAGCAGCCGCGGUAAUACAGAGGGUGCGAGCGUUAAUCGGAUUUACUGGGCGUAAAGCGUGCGUAGGCGGCUUAUUAAGUCGGAUGUGAAAUCCCCGAGCUUAACUUGGGAAUUGCAUUCGAUACUGGUGAGCUAGAGUAUGGGAGAGGAUGGUAGAAUUCCAGGUGUAGCGGUGAAAUGCGUAGAGAUCUGGAGGAAUACCGAUGGCGAAGCAGCCAUCUGGCCUAAUACUGACGCUGAGGUACGAAAGCAUGGGGAGCAAACAGGAUUAGAUACCCUGGUAGUCCAUGCCGUAAACGAUGUCUACUAGCCGUUGGGGCCUUUGAGGCUUUAGUGGCGCAGCUAACGCGAUAAGUAGACCGCCUGGGGAGUACGGUCGCAGACUAAAACUCAAAGGAAUUGACGG